This 347-nucleotide ribosomal RNA is filed under the name uncultured bacterium. RNAcentral describes it as "bacterial SSU rRNA". It matches the Rfam family "Bacterial small subunit ribosomal RNA", at positions 29 to 409 of the family's 1533-position model. The record is from RNAcentral.
AACGAACGCUGGCGGCAUGCCUAACACAUGCAAGUCGAACGAAGUCUUCGGACUUAGUGGCGCACGGGUGCGUAACGCGUGGGAAUCUGCCCUUGGGUGCGGAAUAACUUCUCGAAAGGGAUGCUAAUACCGCAUAAUGUCGUAAGACCAAAGAUUUAUCGCCCAAGGAUGAGCCCGCGUAAGAUUAGCUAGUUGGUGGGUAAAAGCCUACCAAGGCGACGAUCUUAGCUGGUCUGAGAGGAUGAUCAGCCACACUGGGACUGAGACACGGCCCAGACUCCUACGGAGGCAACAGUGGGAAUAUUGGACAAUGGCAAAGCCUGAUCCAGCAAUGCCGCGUGAGUGAU